This 31-nucleotide transfer RNA is filed under the name Amazilia yucatanensis. RNAcentral's name for it is "partial tRNA-Met". Lineage: Eukaryota; Metazoa; Chordata; Aves; Apodiformes; Trochilidae. The record is from RNAcentral.
AUACCCCGAAAAUGAUGGUUUAAUCCCUUCC